Molecule: ribosomal RNA, 449 nt
Filed under: uncultured bacterium
Lineage: Bacteria
Description: partial 16S ribosomal RNA
Rfam family: Bacterial small subunit ribosomal RNA
Source: RNAcentral
GAUUAACGCUGGCGGCAGGCCUAACACAUGCAAGUCGAACGAACCGUUUACGGUGAGUGGCGCACGGGUGAGUAACACGUGGGAAUAUACAUUUCGGUAAGGAAUAACGUAGAGAAAUUUACGCUAAUACCUUAUAAUGACUACGGUCCAAAGAUUUAUCGCCGAAGGAUUAGCCCGCGUUAGAUUAGGUAGUUGGUAGGGUAAUGGCCUACCAAGCCUACGAUCUAUAGCUGGUCUUAGAGGAUGAUCAGCCACACUGGAACUGAGACACGGUCCAGACUCCUACGGGAGGCAGCAGUGAGGAAUAUUGCGCAAUGGGGGAAACCCUGACGCAGCCAUGCCGCGUGAGUGACGAAGGCCUUAGGGUUGUAAAGCUCUUUCAGAUGUAAAGAUAAUGACGGUAACAUCAGAAGAAGCUCCGGCUAAAUUCGUGCCAGCAGCCGCAGUAA